Molecule: long non-coding RNA, 265 nt
Filed under: Brassica rapa (field mustard)
Lineage: Eukaryota; Viridiplantae; Streptophyta; Magnoliopsida; Brassicales; Brassicaceae
Description: long non-coding RNA (BRAP_LNC002444)
Source: RNAcentral
ACUCGCUGACGGCCCCUGCGGCCAAAGCCUUUGUAUUCUCUUGUAAUGAUCGCAACGUUCUUACGCGGACUCGAAAUAAGAUCUACUGUUUUCUCUAAACUCGUUUGUUAUCUUUUCAUGAUUUCCGCAUAUAUUCGAUCAUUUGUCGUUGGCUCUCGCAGAGAUCCGGGACCUCUGGGAAAUUAGGGUUUUCCUAGUUUCCUUAUUUAAACGGAAAUCGACAGUGCGAAUUUCGGUUCCCACAGUUUGGCGCUAGAAGGAGGGG